RNAcentral lists this ribosomal RNA (600 nucleotides) under Enterococcus faecium. Its description in RNAcentral is "bacterial SSU rRNA". It matches the Rfam family "Bacterial small subunit ribosomal RNA", at positions 38 to 614 of the family's 1533-position model. The record is from RNAcentral. Lineage: Bacteria; Bacillati; Bacillota; Bacilli; Lactobacillales; Enterococcaceae.
AGAAGCAGCUAUAAUGCAGUCGAACGCUUCUUUUUCCACCGGAGCUUGCUCCACCGGAAAAAGAGGAGUGGCGAACGGGUGAGUAACACGUGGGUAACCUGCCCAUCAGAAGGGGAUAACACUUGGAAACAGGUGCUAAUACCGUAUAACAAUCAAAACCGCAUGGUUUUGAUUUGAAAGGCGCUUUCGGGUGUCGCUGAUGGAUGGACCCGCGGUGCAUUAGCUAGUUGGUGAGGUAACGGCUCACCAAGGCCACGAUGCAUAGCCGACCUGAGAGGGUGAUCGGCCACAUUGGGACUGAGACACGGCCCAAACUCCUACGGGAGGCAGCAGUAGGGAAUCUUCGGCAAUGGACGAAAGUCUGACCGAGCAACGCCGCGUGAGUGAAGAAGGUUUUCGGAUCGUAAAACUCUGUUGUUAGAGAAGAACAAGGAUGAGAGUAACUGUUCAUCCCUUGACGGUAUCUAACCAGAAAGCCACGGCUAACUACGUGCCAGCAGCCGCGGUAAUACGUAGGUGGCAAGCGUUGUCCGGAUUUAUUGGGCGUAAAGCGAGCGCAGGCGGUUUCUUAAGUCUGAUGUGAAAGCCCCCGGCUCAACC